Molecule: long non-coding RNA, 9562 nt
Organism: Passer montanus (Eurasian tree sparrow)
Lineage: Eukaryota; Metazoa; Chordata; Aves; Passeriformes; Passeridae
Exons: 11
Source: RefSeq, a predicted model, not a curated record
UCCAUGCUAUCUCCUAAAGCAGUCAUUCUGAAACCCAAUCUGGGGACAGUGCAGACUAAAUAAAAUUUCAUUUUGAUUUGGCCUCCCGCUGAGAAUGGGACUGCUUUGUUUCAGCCGACAGAACCAGCAAGCCAGAAAGGUGUUGAAUACACAAAUACUGACUUAACAGAAAAUUAUAUAAAAAGAAGCAAAAUUAUUGGGAUGCCUAGGAUUUCAGAAUAUUACUUCAUAAUAAGCAUAAAAAACAUCUUAAAGUACACAUUAUGGGUCCAGAAGAACACAUCUUUCAGUCUUCAAGAAGUAUUUAAACUACUCUGGCAGAUGAAGAGAUGAGAAGAGCAUACUAGAGAAGCAAUCACUUGUGGUGGACUAGUUUCGAAGAACAGAUUAUCCAGUCACUUUGACAUCUGCUCUAGAUUUGGAUUUGGCUUGCUUGAUGCUGGACGAUUAAUGAAGGAAGCCCUAACUGGACAAAUGUUGGUCUCCUGAGACAAUGUGUUGUUGAUAACAGAAAAGGAUUGACAAUAAGAUGUGGAUGUUCAUCUUUAAUGAACUCACCAAGUGGAAGCCAGCUAAGUUUGAUGAUGCAAUUGACCACCUUCUCAGCAACAGCUGAAUAUUUGCUCCUCAAAAUGAGCAAGCCUGUUAACUGCAAAUGUGAAGAGAUGAAGCAAGCAAAAAAAGAAAAAGUGUGAAGAGCUUUGCUGCCAUAUCAUCCCUGUAUCAGAUAGUUUUAGGAUCAAUGAAUGAACAGGUAUGUAAAAGAGACUGUUAUUCUACAGAGAAGGGGUAUUUCAGAGAAAUGAAGGGGAGAAAUUAAAAGGCAGAUCAGUACAUUGUCACUAUAUGAUGACAAUAUUAGAGAAAGAAUUUCAUUUGUCUUCUUUUAAUUUUGGAUCUUUACAGUGGAAGAGUACUACAGAGAGGUCUAGAUAAUAUCUGUUAUCUUAUCAAGUGUUGCCACGGUACCAGUAUUUUUGUUUUCUUUUUAGAGUUACUCAUGUAAGAUAAACCACUCUGCUGUAUAAGUUAAAAGUUCGCAUUCUGUCCUUCAUUUUUGCACUUUACAUUAUAAGACACUUUGUUUACCAUAGCGGUAAGAGAUAUCAUCACCUUUGGUUAACCAUGAAAGUGUUGAUUUUCAAAUUACUAGAAGUUUUAAUUAUUCUAAUUAUAACUUAAUACUGCUGCAAUGACAUUUCACACGCAGAAGUUAUAUCAGUGAAAAUCACUUAGGAUAACAAGCAGAAAUUAUUUUUUUUUCUGUGAAUAUUCAUAGCACACUGGAAAUUGGGAGGUCAGGAUUUCUCACAGAUAAGACCAUCCAUUGCUGUGUUUCCCUCCGUGGAGUUACAUGCUGCAUUCCCUUCUUCCCUUAUACACUAAAGCAAGAGAAAUAGUUCCCUCACUAGCAGGGAUUCAAUGGUCUUCUCUGUCAGGCACUAGUUUUGGUGGUUUUGGUGCUGUACAAUGCAGAAGAUAUGGGAGAUGUCUGGAUUGUCAGCAUCAAGUGGUUACUUUAAAUGCCAGAGGUGGAGAAGUUCUGGAAAGAGCUGAAAAAAUACAAGUAGAUUAAUUUGCACUUCACAGAAGUUUCUGUUAGAAUAGAGACAGAAAGAGACCGAAUGAGGCAGGAGGAGAAGCAAAUAUAGAGGCGAAGUAAUGGCAAAAAUAUUUAAUUUAAACAUUAAAUAUUUCCUUUAACUGCACUCAGAGAUGGGGAUUGUAUUUGACCAAACAACCAAAUUCUCCACUACAAGUCAGAACUAAAGCUAACUCCACUUUUUUAUUUCAAUAUAUUUUCAAUAGAAAGGACCCAGUCAGUUAUUCUCUGUGUGCUAAAUAGUGUACUAGCAACACUAACAGACCAAGCAGAUGGUUUUGUGGCAUUGUAUGAGUGGUAUAAUAUUGUACUGUAAAUAUAAAUAGGAUACUCACUCACCUUGUUCAAGUUCCCAAUGUGCUUUGUAAUAAACCAAGUAAUUUUGACAGAAAAAUGUUGACCAACCCUAGCCUAACAGCAUUCACAUAAUGAGCUGAAUACUGACACAAAUCUUGUCCAUUAACAAAAAAUCAGUGGUAUUACAUUACUUUUACAAUUUGAAGGAUAAACACAGAAAUGUGAGAGAUGGAGUAAUGAAAGCCAUGUAGUUCCUGCUCUUCAAAGGUCUCACCAGAACCUGCAAAGCUAAUAUACCUACUCUUUUUUAUUUUAAUAAGCUUUGUAUAAGUCAAAAAGCAUUGAAAAUUAAUAACAGGAAAAAUAAUAACUCUGUUUAUAUUUGUUGGGUUAUAUCCAUAAUAAGCUUAUAAAAAAAGAAAACAGAAAAAUUAAAACAGGUCCAAAUAUUAAAUUAAUUCUAGAUUUCAAGAUUACCUCAUUUUCUGCUCCAACGUAAAUGUGUGACAACUUUUCCAAAGCCUUUAUUGAAAAUAUUUCUCUUCCCAUCGUGGAACGGUGCAUCUUUCUUUCUUCUUGCAGCUGUUCCUUCUAGAGACAUUAAUCUUUGGGCAAGCAGUUACCAAUAUCAGAGGGUAGUCUGAAAUGUACCACCACCUGGGACACCAAAGGAUUACAGAUUGCUCUCAUGGGAACUGCUGGGUGAGGAGUGGUGGUGGGUCAGGAUAGCACCCAGCUAAAGCAGAGUGCCCCAGGGAGCAGAAGCAAGGCAAAAUGUCAUUCCAUCAAACACAGAUUUCUGAGCUAACCCGUAUUUUCAGGUAGAGCAGGUAGAUUUUAUUCUUACAGUGGACUUUUAUCUGACAAUAAAAUAAAGCAAGCAAAAGGACUAUAAGAUUAGAUCCUCAUUCUGCAUCUCAUGAAAGGAGAACUGAGGAAAAGACAGAUGGAGUGAUUUUCUGGAGCAAGUUGAGCCCUAGGUUGAAUUGGAUCGCCUGUCUUGUUCAGAGGCUGCCCUUUCCUGACUGUGAUGUGGAAGAAACACAGCCAUUAGCAGGCACCUGCAAAAAUGCUCCACCUGUUUUUGCUCAAAGUGACAAAGCCCAGAGGACGAUGUCUGUGUUCCCUGCAGGUCUGUAGGGAGCAUGAUGUAGCUGAUGCAAUUCCCAGCUCCAGCACACCUGCAAGGUCUCAUUGAUCUGCUGUUCAGUGCUCUGAAAACUCAGAAAUCUAUUAUCAGUGUGAGCAUGUGCUUAUUGAUCAGGUUACCUGCUUCUGCUCCCUGUGUGCACCUAAUUGUACUGGCAUGCACACACACACAAGCGCACAUGCAUAAAUAUUCACACACAUGUGUGCAUAGAUACAGGUACACACACAUGGGUUGGGGGAAUGUGUGUAUGAUAAAGGCUCUACCCUUUUUUUUAGCUUUACAAAACUGCACAUAAAUAAAAAGAAUGGACCUUCCCUGUGAAACGUGAGCACAGAAACGCUCACAAGUGGCCAAGAGCUGCUAAAUAAUUAAUCAAUAGAGCAGUGUGGCAGUUUGAAAUGUAAAUGUGAUGGAUGAAGGUGUGAUGCUUGUCAUCAAGCAGAAAAUGAUGUGACUGGAAUGGAUAACCCACCGUACCUGCUAACUGGCAAGAGCUUGGACACAAAGAUAAAGUAAAGCCAUCAGAAAGCAGACCUGGCAACCCCUAAUUCUUGCCUUUGACCCACAAUUCACUUUCAUGUCUCUGUCCCAGAAGACAUGUUUUAAAAAAUGAUGAAGAGAGAUCUUGGGGUGGGAAAGGGGUGAGAAAAAAACCAUCUGAAGAAAUGCUACCUGACAAGGCUGCAGGCUACGUUCUUGAGAACACCUUUCUUUUCUUUAUGUUCUCCUUCUCCCGUUAAAUAAAAAUGCGGCUCCUUUUUUCCCUUUCCUUUCUUCCGAAACUCUCCCGAGCCGUUCCUGCAAGUGGUUCUGUGACUCGGGAGCUGACAACAGCCGCAUGCAAAGGAACAAAGAAUGAGAGUGACAAUUCAGAGUGCACGCAGGGGGAAUGAGAGAACUUGGGGCUGUUCCAGACCAGCCAUGGCUUCCAAGGGCCUCCUUUCCAUGUGUCCUACUGCUGGCAGGAUUGUGAGCAUGAAGAACUUUUCAGAUAGUCUUCCUUUGGUCGCAAGAUGACAGUGAGAAUGGAUUGUCAAACUGGACCACUAUGACAAUUUACUCUGAGGGAGAAAAUCCUGUGGGUGUUUAGAAGCUUUACUUUUACUAUCACCUGAAAAUAAACACCCUACACCAUUUUUUGCAUCAUUUUAGACAACAACUGCCUGGUUGGCAACUGCACCAAAGCAGGAGGAAGAUAGUGAAGGAGACUGACACAGCAUGAGAGCCUGCAGACAGCAGCUGGUGGCUCUCCAGCAGGAAGCACUGAAAUGUGGAUGGUAGUGCUGACCCCAUCACAAGGUCCCAUACCUGGGGGGCUUGAGACUGAGGUGGUGCCCACCAGAGUGGAACAGAGGACAUGAUCAGAGAACCUCUGAAGAUCUUUUCUUCAUAAGGGCAAGACAAGACUGAAAGACAAGGAAGUGCAACCCAGUGUUCUCUCACAAUGUGGCACCGUGGUUGUCAUGAAAGCACCUUCCAUUCUGACUGUCAAUACGGAAGUGAAGACAAGCUUUCAAAAAGAGAGAAGACAACCAUGAAUCACCCCAUGAACUGAAUGGAUAUAAUCAACCAAUUUUUUGCAUUUAAAGUUCAUUUCUGGUUCAUCUCUGUUUUCAACACCAACUGAAAAUUGUUUACUAAUCACUCAUUUUGGAUCAACCAUCAUACCUAUGGCUCAGAUUUCCUCCAUUCAGUAGUAUUUCAUCAGGAAGUCGGUCCUACCAAGAGAAGCGAGCAAUACCCUGUGUACUGGGAAGUGAAGAAGUAAUCAUCCCUGCAAACGUGCUCAAUUGUGUGGAAUGCUUCAACAUAGUCUUUACUCGAUUCACACUUUACAGUAGGCUUUCCCUCCUGGUUCACCUACACAACAGCCUUUGACAUCAGUGAAGAUGGUGAGAGCAGCUGUUUGUUAUUUAUCUGUGAAUAUUUCCUAUCAUCCCAAGCAAAAAUACAGGCUACUGCAUGGGACUAUGCAGAGAUGUGUGAGAGAGGCAAUGCAAGGAAGUCAUUCUCCAAAAAGCAUUCCGUGUAGAUUUCUUGUAGCUGCCCACAUUAAGCCAUAUGGGGGCAUGGAAGAUUUUUAGAAGCCUGAUUGACACAGGAGGCAGCACUUCCAAGCUCUGUCUGUCUUGUUAAGUCCUGGCAAAAAUCCCAUGAAAAGGAGAGGAAAGUGUUGCACAUUGCUGGGUAAGGUGUAGUGAGGGGCUGGGGUGAUGCAAUGGUGGGUGUGAUCAGACCACUGGCAGAUGAACCUGGAUUUGAGCCUUGAACAAUAGUUUCAGUGUCUUAGAGAGGGAGAGAAUAGAGAAAGAGAUCAGCAUACAAGUUUUAAUGAGAAAAAUUGAUUACUGAUGCAGAAUUUUUGAGAAGGGACCAGCCUGUGUCCUGACAGCACACACAUUCCACACAGUAAACGGACUUCAAAGUAACCCAAAAGCCAAAAUAAAGCUUUGCUGCUUUUUGUACCUUUCCAACAGCAGUAUUUGGUACUCUUCUCUCACCAGCAUGGCCAUGUAACCGCCUUUUCAAGUUCUGGAAUCAUUACUAAAAUAAAAGGCCAAGUCUUGCCUUGCUUCUCAAUUAGGAAGAGUGAUAGAUCUCAAUAAGACUAUUCUUUGUUGUUGUCUUCUAUGCUUUGUAUACCUUUGGGUGUCUCUUCCCAAUGGCCUCUGAAAAAUUUUUGAUCUCCUAGAACCUUACUUUUUAGGGCACUGUGUAACCUGCUUGUUUUGUUAGAAGGCAGAGUGCAAAAAUUGAGAAAUUACCUUAUGUGCUGUAUAGCUUGAUUUCAAUUACUUCAUUUAGUUAUUGCUAACCAUAUUUUAUAAAUAUCAACACAUUCUAUUUGUUCUGGCCAUUGAAAUUAUGCUUUCAAAUUAAUUCAGAUAUGUAUUCUGAUAUAUUUUGUCUAUAUUACAAUUGUACAAAAUUGGUUAUAUCAGUUAGGAGAAGCAUCUAAAAUUGCCUCCCUGCAAUUUAUGCUCUGUAUUUUAAGUUUGGACAGUACUACAAGAUCAUUUUGCUCAUGUGUUAAGUGGGAUCCUAGUAUAUCACUAGAUUAAGUCAAAAUAUUGCAAGUUAAUAAGAAUACCUGUAGAUUAUGAAAGUGAGACCAAAAAAGUAGCAUUUCUUAUUGCAUAAGCUGAAAAACUGGAAAUAAUUUCAGUAAAACAGGUUAGAAGAGGGAUGUUUGGGAGGCAUUGUCAUUUUUGUGGACUACAGUAAAAGAAAAACAUACAUCAAAUCAGAAUUACUUGCCUUGAAUUGAAAUGUUAAUAAGCCAAGACAUUAGCAAAGAGAGAGUAUCACCUUAGUGGUUUGUUCUAAGGCAAUUGCCUGCACUCUCUCUGUAGCUGAGGGAGAAAGAGACUCCACCAGUAACAGAGACUUAUUUUAAUAUGGCUACAUGAGAUACCAUCCUAUAAUGACCAUAUAAAAUGGUUGAACAGAGAUCUGGAGGUACUACCCAUGACAGAAAGGGAAAGAAAAGUUAUCUGAGACUAGAUAGCUAAUUCUAAGACAGACACAACAAUUUAUAAAGAAUCCUGCUCUGUACAUGAAGUCCCAAAUUUUAGAAAAUUAAAGACCCGAUUAAUUUCUAAGUUAUUUUCGUUUAUUACAGACAGAUGUGCCAGGGAUGAGCAUGCCUGUUUGUCUCUUAAUAUAGAUUUCAUAGGCUGGACUUCAUCUGACAGCUCUGCGGUUAUGAAUCUUGAGACAUAUUUCACUUCAAUUUAGGAAGUUUUAGGAAGCUCAGGGUCUUUUUUCACAAAGGCCCAUGAGAAAUAGAGGUUUCAGAUUUUAAUUCUUCCUUGGAAAUAAGAAAGUUAGUAAAAUAAGGAUACCCACAGUAGGCUUUCUACAGGUUCUUCUUUGAGAAAGCUAGGACAGACUCAACAGCAUUAAUGUUUUUCUCCUUGAUGGAUGAAGUCAUGGAACUGAUUUCUGAUAUAGUCUCCACACCUGGGCCUUAGGCAGCUAUAGUGAACAUCAGUCUCAUAUCCAUACCAUAUCAAAGGGAUGCUUGUCUGUGUCUCGAAUCAGACAUAUGUUUCUUUAGUGAAUGCAGUAAAAAUUAAGCUAAUUUCUGAGUUUGACUCUAUAAACAGACCAAGUAAUGGUCAUAAAAGUUCACUGAAAUAAAUUUAAAGUCACAAAGCUCAGUAGUGUUUGUGAGCAUUUUUUUUUUCAUAAAACUGACCUUCUUUUGAAAUAUCGGGACUGAAGGCCAAUCUGCACCAGCCAGGGAUUAAAACAGGACAUGGAGAGUAUUUGCCCCAUUUCUGAUGUUCUAGUUCUGUCCUUCAAAAUAAUCAAAGACUGGAUUUGCCAUACGGCAGUUUCCGUCUUUCUCAAAACAGAAAGGGAGUGGGAAGAAGCAGAUAUAAAAAUAUAUAAAGGAAAGAGCAGAAAAGAGAAAGGAUUGUUCCAGCCCUCCAGCUUCCCUUUAUGAAAGGCAAAAGACCAAAAGGUUUUCACUUGAUGAGGGCCAUGGGCUAGGAUACAAACCCCACUCCUCUUGGGUUGUGGUGCUGAGCACUCAUCCUGCCCCUUUGCUGUGACCUGUCGGGGUGGAUUGCCAAAGCUCUAGGGAAGGGUCCCCUGCAGGACCAGCUCCUCACCUGAACAUCUCCCCCAGGACAGUGCCAGUUUGCAUGGGUGAGAAUUUAACCCACCUGUGACAGACAUAGUGCAGAGAAAUUAUACUGGGCUUAAUAAACCAGUCAAAUAAACCAGUGCUGAGAGUGGCUGUAGCAACACACAGAAAUAUCUUUCAGUGAAAGAGCAAGAGAAUACCAGCUGAGAGACAAACCUCACCUGUUGGAGAAUACUAUUCUUAGCCUGGACUUUGCACAAAAACUUUUCAGAGAUCCCCACAAAUCCAUAUACAGUGGGUCAGAAGAGUGCAACAAGCUAGCAGAGGAGUUAAAUUAAUCUCUUGCAUUGUGUUUGCUGCUGAGAGCAGUGUAGAAAUUCCUGUGCCAAAGGCACUUUGCAAAGAAAAUCAGAGUGUGGCCUUUAUACAGACUGAAGUCUCUAAGGAGGAAGUUGUAGAGUAACUUGAGAAACUCAAGUGCAGUAAAUCACCACAACCGGAUGGUGUUCAUCUGGGAGUUCUGAGGGGAAAUAAAGUGAGAAAAAGCCAAGAUACUGACAAGAGGAUGCCUUCUUCCCUUGAAAAAUGCAGCAGCACAAGAAGGCUGGGAAGCCCUAUUAUGUUGCCUGUCUUCAAAAGGAGAUGAGGAAAAUCCUGGGAAUAAAAGAGCUUUGAAGUUUGCCACAGUUUUAGGGAGCCCAAAAAUACUAGUUCUGAACAACAGCUCAAGAGAGAGCUUGUUGGACAAGAACACCCCAAGAAGGUGUUCUUCGUCUCCCAAAACACUAAGGCAGUUACAAGGGGGGAAGUGCAUUCAGUUACUUUGAAAAUCCAGUGGAGCAGCCUUCAGAGGAAAAGUGGGAUUGACAGAGUCUUCUCAGAGAAAGGUGACAAAAUGAUCCAAAGAUUCUAAAGUUUUUAUGGAGGUCAAUUAUAAGCAAUUGUCACAGAGAAUAUUAAGAAAUAAAACUGAGAAUAAUACUUGAUGAUGAUUUUGUCCUGGAAUGAACUACAAAUCAGUUUGGAAGAAGUGAAUAUGAGAAGCAUUUCUCUUUCUAUUGAGGAAGGGAAAGGUGAACACCCAGUAGUAGGAAUCAGGACUAGUGUCAUAACAAAUAAAUGAGUCUGAGUCCCAAGCCCCAAUGCAUUCAAAUUAGUGUAUCCAGAAUCCACCCAAGAUCCGGAUUCACAUGUCACACAUAUGGUUCCCAUCUUCAAGAGGACAAAUCAAUUCCUGGGCUGAAACUCCUGAGGUUUGUGCUCUGAGGUUUGAAUACUUCGUAUUCAAAGACUUCAGCCUACACAACAGUUACGUAUGAAAUAAGGGGGGGUGGGAGGAGUGCAUGUGUACACAUAGCAUGCAAAGGAAGCAAUUAAAUGUAAACCCAAAACAAUUUUAAAAGUGAUCCAUGGCAAAAAGUGCUCUGAUGCAGAGACUGUAAGUAUUUGUUCUGUGCAUUAACUUGUCACAGCUAGCUGAAAGGGCACAAGAUUGCAAGUAAAGGACAGUGGGAAUUUUGCUGGGUUUGGUGAGCCCAUUUACAAUCAAACAUUUUAAAUUAUCUGGAUUUACACGGCUUGGUACCCUUCCAUUUUCUCUCCUAGUUUUUUUUUUUAGUUCCUGUAGACUAGGCCCAGGGUACUGAAGGCAAAGCUUCUCCAGUUUUAAUUUGCUUUGUCUCAUGAAUUCAUUAGAUUUUGAAAGCUUUCAAAGGAAGUCACAGGUAAGAAUUAGAGAAAAUAGAGAAAGUGGGACACUUCUGACUGGCUUGUAUGUUUCCAGUAUCUAAAGAGAAAGAUUUUUUUAAAAGCAAACUGUAGGAGGGUUUGUAAAAAUAGAUAUUUACAUUUACGUAUUGGGACAGAUCUCAGCUGCCAUGGAGCAGUAUUGCUCCGUCCUCUUGAGCAGGGCACA